AACGAACGCUGGCGGCAGGCCUAACACAUGCAAGUCGAGCGCGCCUUCGGGUGAGCGGCGGACGGGUGAGUAACGCGUGGGAAUAUGCCCUUCUCUACGGAAUAGUCCUGGGAAACUGGGGGUAAUACCGUAUACGCCCUUUGGGGGAAAGAUUUAUCGGGGAAGGAUUAGCCCGCGUUGGAUUAGGUAGUUGGUGGGGUAAUGGCCUACCAAGCCGACGAUCCAUAGCUGGUUUGAGAGGAUGAUCAGCCACACUGGGACUGAGACACGGCCCAGACUCCUACGGGAGGCAGCAGUGGGGAAUCUUAGACAAUGGGGGCAACCCUGAUCUAGCCAUGCCGCGUGAGUGAUGAAGGCCUUAGGGUUGUAAAGCUCUUUCAGCUGGGAAGAUAAUGACGGUACCAGCAGAAGAAGCCCCGGCUAGCUCCGUG
This 431-nucleotide ribosomal RNA is filed under the name uncultured bacterium. RNAcentral's name for it is "partial 16S ribosomal RNA". It matches the Rfam family "Bacterial small subunit ribosomal RNA", at positions 29 to 507 of the family's 1533-position model. The record is from RNAcentral.